CGGGACAAUGGAGGAACUCUGAUGCAGCAACGCCGCGUGGAGGAUGACGCAUUUCGGUGUGUAAACUCCUUUUAUGAGUCAAGAAAUGACGGUAGCUCAUGAAUAGCACCGGCUACUCCGUGCCAGCAGCCGCGGUAAUACGGAGGGUGCAAGCGUUACUCGGAUCACUGGGCGUAAAGGACGCGUAGGCGGGUUUGUAAGUCAGGUGUGAAAUCCUACAGGCUUAACUGUAGAACUGCACUUGAAACUUCUAAUCUAGAGUAUGGGGAGGGGGAGAUGGAAUUAGUGGUGUAGGGGGUAAAAUCCGUAGAUAUCACUAGGAAUACCCAAAGCGAAGGCGAUCUCCUGGAACAUAACUGACGCUAAGGCGUGAAAGCGUGGGGAGCAAACGGGAUUAGAUACCCCGGUAGUCCACGCCCUAAACGAUGAACGCUAGUCGUCGUGAUGCUUGUCAUUGCGGUGAUGCACUUAACAGAUUAAGUGUUCCGCCUGGGGGAGUACGGUCGCAAGAUUAAAACUCAAAGGAAUAGACGGGGACCCGCACAAGUGGUGGGAGCAUGUGGUUUAAUUCGAAGAUACGCGAAGAACCUUACCUAGCCUUGACAUUGAUAGAAUCCCGCAGAGAUGUAGGAGUGCCCUUCGGGGAGCUUGAAACAGGUGCUGCACGGCUGUCGUCAGCUCGUGUCGUGAGAUGUUGGGUUAAGUCCCGCAACGAGCGCAACCCCUCGUCCUUAGUUGCCAGCAGGUUAAGCUGGGCACUCUAAGGAGACUGCCUUCGCAAGAAGGAGGAAGGUGAGGACGACGUCAAGUCAUCAUGGCCCUUAUGGCUAGGGCUACACACGUGCUACAAUGGGGCGUACAGAGUGUUGCGGUACCGCGAGGUGGAGCCAAUCACUUAAAGCGUCUCUCAGUUCGGAUUGGAGUCUGCAACUCGACUCCAUGAAGCUGGAAUCACUAGUAAUCGUAGAUCAGCAAUGCUACGGUGAAUACGUUCCCGGGUCUUGUACUCACCGCCCGUCACACCAUGGGAGUUGAUUUCACCCGAAAUUGGGAAGCUAACCUUCGGGAGGCUACCACUUACGGUGGGAUUAGCGACUGGGGUGAAGUCGUAACAAGGUAACCGUAGGAGAACCUGCGGCUGGAUCACCUCCUUUCU
Molecule: ribosomal RNA, 1156 nt
Filed under: uncultured bacterium
Lineage: Bacteria
Description: bacterial SSU rRNA
Rfam family: Bacterial small subunit ribosomal RNA
Source: RNAcentral